This 73-nucleotide transfer RNA is filed under the name Bacteroidota bacterium. RNAcentral's name for it is "tRNA-Gly". It matches the Rfam family "tRNA". From Rfam's summary of the family: Transfer RNA (tRNA) molecules are approximately 80 nucleotides in length. RNAcentral also lists the same sequence under 4 other names. The record is from RNAcentral. Lineage: Bacteria; Pseudomonadati; Bacteroidota.
GCGGAAAUAGCUCAGUUGGUAGAGCACUAGCUUCCCAAGCUGGGGGUCGCGAGUUCGAGUCUCGUUUUCCGCU